This 825-nucleotide long non-coding RNA is filed under the name Erythranthe guttata (spotted monkey flower). RNAcentral describes it as "long non-coding RNA (EGUT_LNC001353)". The record is from RNAcentral. Lineage: Eukaryota; Viridiplantae; Streptophyta; Magnoliopsida; Lamiales; Phrymaceae.
GAUCACCAUCCUCCAUAGAUGCAGCCGCAAUCGCCACCGCCGCUACAAUAUCGGAACCGUGCAAGAAAUCUGGUUGUAGAUCCCUUUCUACCUCCACCGCUUGUCUCUGAUGCAAGAUCUGUGAUCUCGCUGCCGCCGUUACAUUUCUCGAUUCUCGAUAAUUUGGAGAGGGUAUACGACUUCAUCGACAGUAGCUCAAUUAUCUCCAGUGAGUUAGUUGCCGUUUUAAUUACAUUUUAUUUUAUUUUGUUCGUCUAAGGUUGGUGAUUUUUAUGCCGUAUGUGUACAUGAUUGUAAAUGGAGUUUUAUUGUUGUUUCAGUAUACUGAUAGAUUUUAGUGUGUAGUUUAAUUAUGGAGUUUUAUUGUUGCUUUAGUACAUUGAUGAAGUUUUGUUAUGUAAUUGAAUUAGUGAAGUUUAUUGAUGCUUUAGUAUUUUUUCAUGGAUUUUUCUGUUUCAUAGUUGAUUAGCACGAGAGAGUAUAUUGAUGUAUUGUUAUGCUCUAUAGUCGAUUUGCAUAGUUAUAAUCGAUUUUAUUUAAUUUUCAUAGUCCGGUAAAUUUGCUACCUUACUCAUAUCAUAACUUUAUGCUAAUUUAUUUUUCAGAUGAUGUGGCUACAACUGCAAAAUCGAGGGGAGGACAUUCGAACAUUUCAUAAAGAGAAGUUGGAUUCGGGUCGGAAGCUUUUGCCAUAGUUUAUUCAUUUUGUGAUGGCUCAAUUGAUAUUUUUUCUUAGUUGAAGGAUUUCCGCCUGUGGAUUGGGGGAAGAUCGUGUUUUUGUAGAUGUAUUUGCUCAAUUACAUAGUAGUUUUCGUUGCAAUUGGG